Molecule: long non-coding RNA, 6294 nt
Filed under: Triticum aestivum (bread wheat)
Lineage: Eukaryota; Viridiplantae; Streptophyta; Magnoliopsida; Poales; Poaceae
Description: long non-coding RNA (TAES_LNC001515)
Source: RNAcentral
CCCAUGUGUAUCUAUACCAAUCUUAUUGCAGUUGAGUAUGAAUUCACAAGUAUUGAUAAUUUCCAUUACAAUUCAAGCUAUGUUUAAAAAUUACAGGAGAUGCUUCCUUCCGCACAAACAACACAGGUUCAUGCAUAAUGUGUAUAUAAUUAUGAAAGAUAGAUCAUGCAAGACCAUGAUGAAAUAUGGAAGCAUGAUGCUAGUUGAUGGACGAUUCAAAUGAAAAACAAGGAUAUAUGUUUCUUUUAAUGAAAAGUAAAAUAUAAGGAACGACCAUCUCUACGUUCAAGACAACCCUAAAAAGUGAUAGCCUUUUGCCCUGUGAUGCAAAAAGAGCGAAGCCACCACGCAAGAUACAUAUAUCAUUGACAACUUUAGUAUUAAGAGGAAGUUGUAUUGUACGAGAUUCACGGUUGGAUAGCGUGCUAGCCUGUUCACAUUCAAAAUUUACUAUAAGGUGUUGCAAAAGCUUAGCGGUGAUAUCCAUUAAUUUGGCAAUGAACAAGAUUUAAAUGUACCCUUCUAAGAACAUGUUCUCCGCCUACACAAGGCACCUUCCUAGAUUCUUCAUUAAUGUUUCUCCCUUUAUCCAAAUCAAGUUGACCAUGUGACCAUAACCGGGACAUUAUUAACUUAAAAGAAGUAAACACACAAAUAUAUCUAAACUGGAUCUGAUUUGCUGGAUUUCCAAUUAAAUGGUGAACUUUCUAACGAUGCUUCCUAUGAAUCUUGAUAUGUACUUUUUAGAAUCCUAUUAAUAAUUAGAUAUGAGUAGAAAGGAAAAAGCACCUCUCGGUGAUUCAGUCACUGCUUGUAUGCUUUCAUCUGAUGGGUUAUUACAUCACAAUCGAUUAUUCAAAACAAAGUAUGCAACUCCUACAAUUGACUGUAAUGUAACAAUCAGAUGCAACUAAGGAGCAGCUACAAAAGUAAAGUAAUUUUUUAAACACAGUUGGAACUCGAUUUACCUCUGAACAUUACAUAAGCCAUAGUUCUCAUGCAUCUUAUUUCUUAGCUAUUAGAGGAUAAAAUAAAAUUGUGUACGUUCAAGGGAUCAUAAACGACAUACAUCAAAAAACAUCAAAACCUUUCUUCGAGGACAGGCUAAAGGAACGUCAGUAUAGCAUACAAUCUACAAACUACAAUUACCUGUAUAGUGGGAUGUUAAAAAUGAACAGAACUACAUACAUAUAAAGGUGCUUCCUUUUCAUAUGCUGCUUAGCUCACACGAAAAGCUAAACACUUUUUUCUCGACUUGAGAUUCUUGACAAAAGUAAGGUUCAGUCAGUGUAUGUGAGGACAUCUGAUAUGUGCAACAAAGUAUAUACUUUUGCAUGUACCUAAGAUGGUAUUGCUCAAAGCGGAGGAAGACCCUCUGAUCUCCUCUAUAUAUCAUUACUUCGACACCUAAACGUUGCCCUUAUUUUUCUCGAAAGAAUUUUUACAUAUGAAAUCAAUAUAUGUAAAGAAAACUGGAAUAAGAACCAAACAUCCACAUGAAGGAAGCACUUGUUUAUUUCUAGCUAUCUCUGUACCCAAAAUGAUCAAACAUGUAUUUAUUUAUAGCAAAGUUGAAUAAAAAACAACCGUAGGUGCAAGAAAGCACUUACAAAUAUCUUAGCUUACUCCUAGCUAGCUUUCUGCCCAAAAGAAAAAAAUCAUAUCUAUAUGACUAUAUCUGGAGCAUACCUCAAUUAAUUGAAUCCAUCUUAGGCAAAAGCAGCACCAUGGACGCAGCCAACCUACAGUGUCUCCUAUCUCCUUUAGCAAACAAAUCAAGCAUUAAAAGCGAAGCAAAUGCAAAAGGAACCCAAACAUGGCCAAAACAACACAAGAACUAUGUUGUUGGCUAGAACCUAAAAACGAACAGAAGACUUCGCUGCCCUACCUAAUUUCUACUUUGAUGUUGUUAUUACUAAAAUGACCAUAUGUUUCAGGUCAGACAAGAUACCAGGCAGCAACUAUUAGUAGAACAUGUAGUACAUAGUCGUAUAGGCUGAAUGUUUACAGCUGAAAAUAGCACUUUGUAAUAGAUAUUUACAAGUAAAACAAAGUGGCAACUGUUGCUAGAGCGGUCUGCACUGGCUAAGGUUGACGUUCCAGAUACAUUCUUCCAUCCGAGUGCUCUGCUAUUUUCUUCAAAGCAGAGGAAGAAGAUUUGGCAUAUGUGCUCGACCAUGUGGUGUCAUUAAUCAUUGAAAUUUUUAAAUGGUAUUACCUGUCAUUCUGAGACACCAACAUCUAUUAACUUAUGAUUCUGCAAGGCACACACAUAAGUAAAUGUAAGCACAAGUUUCUCACAAGUAUGUCAAGGGCCAUUGCUACGUUAACAGAAAAGAACAGAAAGAAAUACAAUGGAAGAGGAAGCACCAGGGACCAUACCUCAGGCUCGAAGUACAAGAAGGGGAGGCCGGAGCAGCAUGAACUGGGGUAGUACGGAUGAAGGACGACGGGCUGGAGAGCAUGACGUGACCAGGGGCGGAGGAGCACGCACAGGAGGAGGACGACCAGGAGGGGCCGGCGGCGCCAAACCUAUCUCGCUGCACGCCCAUCUCGGCAGUUCAAGAGAGGUGCAAGGAGAUGUUGCAGCCCAGGGAGAAAGCAUGGAGGGAGCGGCGACAUUUGGGCGGCGCUAGGGAUGCGGCGGAGGGCGGAUCAGAUCUACGGACCAUGGUACUUGACGACGGCGGAGGAGGUAGCUCGGCGACAGCGGUGGUCCAGGAGGAAGGUUGGUGCGAUGGGUGGUCGAGGGAUGCUGGCGUCGGGCGGCGGAGGGCGGUCGGUGGCGGCUAGGGUCAAAGUAGAAGGGAUUUGGGCUAGAUCUGGUCGGGACAACGGUAGUAGGGUCGUAACAGAAGGCAUUUUGGGCUUUCUAGCGCGCGCUUUCGUGGUAGCGCGCUGUUGGGCCCAAUUAUUUCGUUUUCACACCAUGAACAGUUCCUGGCAGAUAAUGGGCCCAGAUUUAGUUCUCCCGGUAGAUAAAAUGACAUAAAUGAUGGAUAUGAACGCCGACAGUAAAUAUGUCCUUGUUGCUCAAUUUCUACCGGCAGUUUUUCUACCUGGAAGGACUUGUGCCGGUGGUUAAAUGAUCCCUGGCAGUUUGUUUGCCUUUAUAUUUGUAUUUCUCCCGGCAGUUAACUACCCCUAAUCAAGUGUUGUGGUGUAGUGGCGGCCUGGGUAUGGAUAUCGGUGGUUCUCACUUGUCACAGAUGGGCUCGUUCCCGUGGGAAGAGCAUGGACCCUGGAUGCGCUCCAUGUUGUCACAGAUGGGCUCCUUCCCCUUGGAAGAGCACGGCCGUAGGGUGCCCUCCCUAAUGUCGCAGACGGGCCCUUUCCCCUUGGAAGAGCAGAUGGGCUCUUUCCCCUUGGAAGAGCCGGAGAGGGUGCCCUCCUCGUGGUAGCCGUCGAUGAGGUCUGAAUUGGAAGCUGUGGAUCCCAAGCCAGCGUCACAUAACGUGUCCUUCCGAAAUGACAAAAGGGGCUCGAUGGCGAUGUAGAAUGGCAAAUUGUUGAGAGCGAGCCAGAGGAGAUCAGCGGCGGGGCCAUGGAUGAGAUUGGCGGCGGUUGAACACGAGGGGUUGGGGGAGGGCCACUUAACCUAUGACACAACUCGCCUCAGGGCGUCGCUGUCAAUGACCUCAAUGUCGUAGAUGGUCGACGAGACAUGCCCGCAUACUCUAGCCCUCUGCUUGAGUGCCUGCCGCCAGUAAGGGUCGUCAGCUCCCUCAGUGAUGUCAGGCGAAGAGACCGCUAUACACCUCUUUUGGGCUAGUCGCUCCUCGAGCUCCACGGGAAGCGUAGCCGGGCUUAGGCUGCGAUGCUCUAGAGUGGGGGAUGGGGAUGGGAUGUGGAUCUGUGGGAAAGGGGGUGUUUGGCAUGCAUCAUCUAAGAAACUCAAGAUGCACUACACCACACCACUAUUGCAAAGACAGGUAAUCUGCCGGGAGAAAGCCAUUAAGAGGGCAGACAAACUGCCGGGAGAGUGUUUUUACCGGCAGAUAGAACCGCCACUAGAACGGCUGCCGGGGAUUACUUGUCCUGGCAGAUAAACUAUUCCCGGAAGUUUCUUUGCCCCGACCUAUAUAUCUGCCGGCAGAUCAUUUUGUCCUGGCAGACUUGUCAUAGCACGGGAUCUAUAAUUGUGGGCAGUGAAACUGCCGGCACAAACUAGUCUUCCCGGUAGUUAGUAUGCCAUCAUGUUGUUUUCACUAGAAAACUAGUAUACAUAUCUCUAAUUUAAUAUCCACACUGCGUUAGGCAAUCAAAACAGAUCACAACUUAUACAUAUAGCUUCAAUCGAAGUUACAUAUAGGCCUCAUUCAAAACCUUGAACUUCACAAAUAUUUUUAGACUGAAAAAACCAAUACUUCAACAUCCAUACAUGCGUUCGGUAGCAACCAGCUACAGCGGUAAACAAACUUUACAUAAGCUGAUAAGAUUUCGAGUCUUCAAACUAUGGUACACACAUGGUUUAAGCUCAGCACGUGGUUGCAACCAUCCUGUGAAAUUGUAUUAUUCGAAGAUGGCCACAUGUCUCCAGCAGAAGAGUCAUGAGCUUGCAAUGCUUUGAAGGUAUUACUGUAAAAAGAACCAUUACGUAGACAUCCAAGUUGACUGGUACAACUACUAUCAUGUAGAAACAUCUUCGAGUGACGAUACCAACCUGAAUAGAUAAGAUAGUACAACUGCUAUGAGCAAAUAACUUUGGUUAAUGAGCUAUAUUGGAGCACAUAAAAAAUGGACAUAGGCUCAGACAGCAAAUAGAUAAUUUCAUAAUAAUAAUUUUGCAAACAAAAAAGCAAACCAUAGUGACAUUUUCAAAGAAAGUAGCAUACAACUACAUAUGGCAGCUGACAUGUUUUCAAACUUCCCAUGUGUAUCUAUACCAAUCUUAUUAUAGUUGAGUAUGAAUUCACAAGUAUUGAUACUUUCCAUUACAAUUCAAGCUAUGUUUAAACAUUACAGGAGAUGCUUCCUUCCGCACAAACAACACAGGUUCAUGCAUAAUGUGUAUAUAAUUAUGAAAGAUAGAUCAUGCAAGACCAUGAAGAAAUCUGGAAGCAUGAUGCUAGUUGAUGGACGAAUCAAAUGAAAAACAAGGAUAUGUGUUUCUUUUAAAGAAAAGUAAAAUAUAAGGAACCACCAUCUCUAUGUUCAAGACAACCCUAAAAAGUGAUAGCCUUUUGCCCUGUGAUGCUAAAAGAGCGGAACCACCAGGCAAGAUACAUAUAUCAUUGACAACUUUAGUAUCAAGAGGAAGUCGUAUUGUACGAGAUUCACGGUUGGAUAGCGUGCUAGCCUGUUCACAUUCAAAAUUUACUAUAAGGUGUUGCAAAAGCUUAGCGGUGAUAUCCAUUAAUUUGGCAAUGAACAAGAUUUAAAUGUACCCUUCUAAGAACAUGUUCUCCGCCUACACAAGGCACCUUCCUAGAUUCUUCAUUAAUGUUUCUCCCUUUAUCCAAAUCAAGUUGACCAUGUGACCAUAACCGGGACAUAAUUAACUUAAAAGAAGUAAACACACAAAUAUAUCUAAACUGGAUCUGAUUUGCUGGAUUUCCAAUUAAAUGGUGAACUUUCUAACGAUGCUUCCUAUGAAUCUUGAUAUGUACUUUUUAGAAUCCUAUUAAUAAUUAGAUAUGAGUAGAAAGGAAAAAGCACCUCUCGGUGAUUCAGUCACUGCUUGUAUGCUUUCAUCUGAUGGGUUAUUACAUCACGAUCGAUUAGUCAAAACAAAGUAUGCAACUCCUACAACUGACUGUAAUGUAACAAUCAGAUGCAACUAAGGAGCAGCUACAAAAGUAAAGUAAUUUUUUAAACACAGUUGGAACUCGAUUUACCUCUGAACAUUACAUAAGCCAUAGUUCUCAUGCAUCUUAUUUCUUAGCUAUUAGAGGAGAAAAUAAAAUUGUGUACGUUCAAGGGAUCAUAAACGACAUACAUCAAAAGACAUCAAAACCUUUCUUCGAGGACAGCCUAAAGGCACGUCAGUAUAGCAUACAAUCUACAAACUACAAUUACCUAUAUAGUGGGAUGUUAAGAAUGAACAAAACUACAUACAUAUAAAGGUGCUUCCUUUUCAUAUGCUGCUUAGCUCACACGGAAAGCUAAACACUUUUUUCUCGGCGUGAGGUUCUCGACAAAAGUAAGGUUCAGUCCAUGUAUGUGAGGACAUCUGAUAUGUGCAACAAAGUAUAUACUUUGGCAUGUACCUAAGAUGGUAUUUCUCAAAGCAUAGGAAGACCCUCUGAUCUCCUGUGUAUAUCAUUACUUUGACACCUAAACGUUGGCCUUAUU